GCUGGUAAGGGUUGGAAUUGGAAUCAAACUUUGGAAUAUUCUGGAACUUUCCAAACGUUGGUGUUCUGCUUCAGAGUUCAGUCAUGAACUCCAGCAUCUGAGGCUUGGUGUUUCUGUCAUUGUGACUCAUCUUCUGUGGGCUCCUUAUGAGAACUGAGAGUAGACUGCCUGCUUGAUGCUCCUGGAUUUUCAAAAGUUUGAAUUGUCUAAAUCUAAUUUUUAUAAAGUACCCAAUAUCAAAUAUUUUAUUAUAGUAAUAGAAAAUGGGUUCUAUACUGGUACUAAUGUUCUCUCAUAGUUAGUUUGGACCGGAGAUGAGAAUAUUGAUUGUUCACUGCCAUGUUUAUUCUGUCUGAAUCUGAGAAGUGCCACAGUUUAAAGUUCCCAUAAGUGAAUAUUUAUUGAAUAAAACCCACUGGAUGAUGAGGUUUCAUCUUGUUUGUGUUUAUGAAUAUUUCAAAUAAGAAAACCCUGAGAA
This 478-nucleotide small RNA is filed under the name Rattus norvegicus (Norway rat). RNAcentral describes it as "uncharacterized LOC103692643". The record is from RNAcentral. Lineage: Eukaryota; Metazoa; Chordata; Mammalia; Rodentia; Muridae.